AUGGGCAAACUAAGUACAGAAUGGGCAGAUGGUGGUACUUCAAAAUACUGUGCAAACUCACCACCACAGUUUGGAAAGGGAACCCAGCUGACAGUGCUUGAGAAGAAUGAUGUAAUCACAUCACCAGCUGUGGCCAUCUUUUCCCCAUCAAAGCAAGAGAUCCAAGAGAAGAGCAAGGCCACACUGGUAUGCCUGGCCUCUGGUUUCUACCCCGACAACCUCAAUCUAGUCUGGAAGGUGAAUGGUGCUGAGAGGACAGAAGGGGUGGGGACAGAUGAGACUUCCACAUCAUAUGGGAAUGCUUAUUCACGGACCAGCCGACUGAGAAUCUCAGCCCAAGAAUGGUUCAACCCUUUGAAUCGUUUUGAGUGUGUUGCCAAUUUUUUUAAGAAUGAAGCACAGGAAUCAAUACACAAAUUCAUCUAUGGUGAUGCUGGCUGUAUUAUCUUCAAAGAAAACUAUCAAAGAAGUGCUACAGCUGGGAAGUUUUUGUACAUCAUGCUCCUUUUGAAGAGCAUUUUGUAUGGGAUAUUUGUAAUGGGGAUGAUGCUUAGGUCCAAGUAAAUAUUCUAGAUAUACUUUUCCCUGAAGAAGAAGACAGACAUAUGAUGCAAGCUUCAAAUCUUUGAACACAAGUCCUCAUUUGCUUCAGGAACCAGCCUUCUAUUACUAACAAAGGCAGGAGAACAGCGAUUUGGCAAUAUACUUCUAUUUUUGCUUGUUUUCAAAUUUAUCUUUUGAUAAAAGUCUACCUUUUAUAAACUUCUCUGUAAUUUCCUUUAUAAGCUAUGAUAGGAUGACACAACUGUUUUAUUUCUACUGUUCUCAAAGAACUGAAUGGAUACAAUUGGCUCUAGGGAGAAUAUACAAGUGAACAAAGAUGACCUCUGCUUACUCUGCUUAUUGGAGUAAUAUGGUACUCCAGAUCAUGUUCUCAUGGUAUAUUUAAAUUACAUAGGGCAUAAAAUGAAGUCUCCAUAACUCUUCCUGGGGGAGAAGGAAGGAGGGAUGGAGGGACGGAGGG
Oxyura jamaicensis (ruddy duck) is the source of this 1024-nucleotide non-coding RNA. The record is from the annotation of a RefSeq genome assembly. NCBI's taxonomy places the organism in Eukaryota, Metazoa, Chordata, Aves, Anseriformes, Anatidae.